CCUGAGCCCUGCUGAGGCUUCAGCUGCCAUCUCUGCUGCUUGGCAGUGCAGGCACAGCCUGGACAAGACCGGCACAGCCCAGAGGAAUUAUCCCCAGCAGGCUCAGGACACUCGGCUACUGAGCAGUCCUGUUGGGCUCCCUGCAUGGGAGACACGUCCCAAAACCCAGCAGUGGCUGCAAAAGGGUGUCCAUGGUGGGGAAUGGGCAGAGGGGGAGGUCAAGGCUCCACUGCAUCCUGAGAGGGCCUGGCUCUGUCCCCUUGGGCUGUAGGAGCUGUCCCAGCAGAGGGAGGGCAGGAGGGAUGGAGCGGGGAAGGGAUAUUUGUGGCACUGCCUGCUGUUGUUUUCCCCAGGGCUUUAGGGAGGGUUUUCUCUUUGGGAGGGGAGAGAGCUCCCAGGAGCCCCCGGCUACCCCACUUUCCUCUCCAGGGAUGUUGCACAGGGCAUGGAAAAAGGGUGGAGAGUGACCAGCAGCCAGCCCAGAGCUCCCCAGGCCCCUCUGCAGAUUUGGCCCUGUCCAUUGACACAUAGCUCCCAUGGCCUUACCCAAACCCCUUGCAGUGCCCAGUCCCCUAAGGCAGAAGGGGAUCCCAGAAUGGACUGAAAAGGGUUCUCAUGUGUGCUCCGUUGUAGAUUGGGAUUGUGAUAUGGAUUAUGUGGAAGCCCUGGUGGAAAAUGGCUUGAAAUUCUUGGAGGAUGUUGGAGCCAAGCCGCUUGGUGAAGGUGAUGCAGCUUCUCAACCCACACCCAGGACUGAGCCUCAGAGAGGUGGUGAGGUUACAGGUGUGUCUGCAGGGAGCGCUUCCCCAGAUCUUGAGGUGGUUACUGCACCCAAGCCUGGCUCCCAUCGCAGGGGUAAGUGGUGUGUCCCUCCUGACCCCACAGGCUGGGGACUGGUUUUUUGGGAUCCAUUCCUGGGAAAUGGAAAUACUUUGUGUUAAGGUCCUCCAAAAAGAAAGACCCAAGAUAAUGGAACCAAAA
This 981-nucleotide long non-coding RNA is filed under the name Cyanistes caeruleus (blue tit). RNAcentral describes it as "lncRNA (ENSCCEG00000019858.1)". The record is from RNAcentral. Lineage: Eukaryota; Metazoa; Chordata; Aves; Passeriformes; Paridae.